GAGUCCCAAAUAGGUUCCUGGCC
RNAcentral lists this non-coding RNA (23 nucleotides) under Arabidopsis thaliana (thale cress). Lineage: Eukaryota; Viridiplantae; Streptophyta; Magnoliopsida; Brassicales; Brassicaceae. The record is from RNAcentral.